GAGAAAAGAAGGCUAAGGAAUGGAGACUUAUGAAAGAAUAAAUCUAUUCUAAAGUGAAUUUACAUUUUACACGUCCUUAAAAGGGCAGAUAAAUCCCUCUUACACAAUGGAAAACAUUUCAAAAGUUACAGCUUUAAUUUCAAUAAAAUUAAUUACUGCAUAAUAAGUACUUGUAUACAAACUAACUUAAAAUUUUGAUGGCCACUCUCAAUUUAAACCAAGAGCUUAAAGAGUCAAGCAAGAUAGCAAAACAUAAACAACUGAAAUUGAAGGCUACUACUUGAACACCUUAGCAGCCACAGCA
RNAcentral lists this unclassified non-coding RNA (304 nucleotides) under Hevea brasiliensis (rubber tree). Lineage: Eukaryota; Viridiplantae; Streptophyta; Magnoliopsida; Malpighiales; Euphorbiaceae. The record is from RNAcentral.